UUGCCUUGUCUUUCGUUGUACAGAUGCUUAUGCAGUGUGUGUGUGUGUGUGUGUGUGUGUGUGUGUGUGUGUGUGUGUGUGUGUGUGUUGCCUUGUCUUUCGUUGUACAGAUGCUUAUGCAGUGUGUGUGUGUGUGUGUGUGUGUGUGUAAAUAAGAGGGCCGUUUUGUCUUUCGUUGUACAGAUGCUCAUGCAGUGUGUGUGUGUGUGUGUGUGUGUGUGUGUGUGUGUGUGUGUUGCCUUGUCUUUCGUUGUGCAGUGUGUGUGUGUGUGUGUGUGUGUGUGUGUGUUGCCUUGUCUUUCGUUGUGCAUAUGCUUAUGCAGUGUGUGUGUGUGUGUGUGUGUGUGUUGCCUUGUCUUUCGUUGUGCAUAUGCUUAUGCAGUGUGUGUGUGUGUGUGUGUGUGUGUGUGUUGCCUUGUCUUUCGUUGUACAUAUGCUUAUGCAGUGUGUGUGUGUGUGUGUGUGUGUGUGUGUGUGUGUGUGUAAUAAUAAUAAUAAUAAACGGUUUAUUCUUUAGGCAGUCAACAAACUGAAAAUGUACAUUGGGUGUGGGGAAAUACUUGACAUUAAUCCUAAAGGUAAGUCAAAUCUAGAAGUCAAAUCUAGAAGGGACUAUUGAUUGAUGGUUCGCUCCAUGGUGGGAAUCGCACAGAGUCUGUACCGGUCCGUACGCGGCGCCUUUAGGGGCGUUAUCUUGUUGUGGUGUCUGGUGGCACGGGCGGGGCGAGGCGCGUCAGGCGGUGUGUGUGUGUGUGUGUGUGUGUGUGUGCCUUAUCUUUCGUUGUACAGAUAGUGAUGCAGUGUGUGUGUGUGUGUGUGUGUGUGUGUGUGUGUGUGUGUGUGAGAGUUGCCCUUUCUUUCAUUACACAUAUGGUGAUGGUGUGUGUGUGUGUGUGUGUUGCUGUCUUUUAGUGUACAGAUGGUGAUAAAAUAUAAAUUAAACAUAAGCAUAUAACACAAUUAAAAAAAAAAAACGACAAAAACAUUAAAUCAACUCAGUCUACCAGCCUCACCCCACACCCCAGCCUACUCCAGGUGAGAGAUGGGGAGGAGGAUUUAAAAGAACAUGUUUGCAGUGCACUGUCAACCCUCACCUGCACCGCCUCCCCCAGUGAGCGGGUGUAGGCCUGGGAAUAGAACAUAUGCAGAUGUCUUGGCAGUGCUGUGUACGUAUGUCUGUCUGUCGAUGGUCAAGAAGGAACGUAGCAAAAGUUUAAGAGAAAAUGAAAAUGCUGUGCUCUUAGCCUCUGGAAGAAGACAAGAAUGGGCAACUGAUGAAGACAGAUGAGGGACACAUGCAAGGUGACAUAGAGCAAGCAAAUUCUUACAUCUGGCCAUCAAGUUUGCACUCGUGUCAGGACACCCACUCACAGACCCCUCUCCCCUACUCUCUUUCAUGGGCUCGCAGUAUGUUUGUGCAGAGGCUGCUCGAGUUACAAGCGAGAUACAUCCCAGAAGGUUGCUCAUAAGUUGUUUUGCUCAUAACUCAUUGUAAUU
Long non-coding RNA from Scylla paramamosain (green mud crab), 1497 nucleotides. RefSeq lists it as uncharacterized. The record is from RefSeq and is a predicted model, not a curated record. NCBI's taxonomy places the organism in Eukaryota, Metazoa, Arthropoda, Malacostraca, Decapoda, Portunidae. The transcript has 3 exons.